RNAcentral lists this ribosomal RNA (500 nucleotides) under uncultured bacterium. RNAcentral's name for it is "partial 16S ribosomal RNA". It matches the Rfam family "Bacterial small subunit ribosomal RNA", at positions 30 to 523 of the family's 1533-position model. The record is from RNAcentral.
AUUGAACGCUGGCGGCAUGCUUUACACAUGCAAGUCGAACGGUAACAGGGAGCUUGCUCCGCUGACGAGUGGCGAACGGGUGAGUAAUAUAUCGGAACGUGCCCAAGAGUGGGGGAUAACGUAGCGAAAGUUACGCUAAUACCGCAUACGAUCCAAGGAUGAAAGCAGGGGACCUUCGGGCCUUGUGCUCCUGGAGCGGCCGAUAUCUGAUUAGCUAGUUGGUGAGGUAAAGGCUCACCAAGGCGACGAUCAGUAGCUGGUCUGAGAGGACGACCAGCCACCCUGGACCUGAGAACCGGUCCAGACUCCUACGGGAGGCAGCAGUGGGGAAUUUUGGACAAUGGGGGCAACCCUGAUCCAGCAAUGCCGCGUGAGUGAAGAAGGCCUUCGGGUUGUAAAGCUCUUUUGUCAGGGAAGAAAAGGGUACGGCUAAUAUCCGUGCCUCAUGACGGUACCUGAAGAAUAAGCACCGGCUAACUACGUGCCAGCCGCCGCCGUAA